Molecule: long non-coding RNA, 754 nt
Filed under: Pongo abelii (Sumatran orangutan)
Lineage: Eukaryota; Metazoa; Chordata; Mammalia; Primates; Hominidae
Description: lincRNA
Rfam family: Pvt1 oncogene conserved region 1 (bases 25-202)
Source: RNAcentral
CUCCGGGCAGAGCGCGUGUGGCCGCCGAGCACAUGGGCCUGCGGGCCGGGCGGGCUCGGGGCGGCCGGGACGAGGAGGGGCGACGAGGAGCUGCGAGCAAAGAUGUGCCCCGGAACCCCCGGCACCUUCCAGUGGAUUUCCUUGCGGAAAGGAUGUUGGCGGUCCCUCUGACCUGUGGAGACACGGCCAGAUCUGCCCUCCAGACCAUAGCUGUCUGCAGUGCAGGAAGCCAACUGUUAAGGGGAAACAAAAGUGUUCUUAGGAGUCCUGCUGUCAUUGUGGAUUGAGAUGGUGAAGCCCAGAGGGAUUUCAUCGUAGAGGUGGAUGGAGAAGCAGCUGGGGUCCUUGGCUGUAAGGACCCCUAAGGGCCUGAUCUUUUGGCCAGAAGGAGAUUAAAAGGAUGCCCCUCAAGAUGGCUGUGCCUGUCAGCUGCAUGGAGCUUCGUUCAAGUAUUUUCUGAGCCUGAUGGAUUUACAGUGAUCUUCAGUGGUUUGGGGAAUAACGCUGGUGGAACCAUGCACUGGAAUGACACACGUCCGGCACAUUUCAGGAUACUAAAAGUGGUUUUAAAGGAGGCCCUGGCUGAAUGCCUCAUGGAUUCUUACAGCUUGGAUGUCCAUGGGGGACGAAGGACCGCAGCUGGCUGUGAGGGUUGAGAUCUCUGUUUACUUAGAUCUCUGCCAACUUCCUUUGGGUCUCCCUAUGGAAUAUAAGACCCCGACUCUUCCUGGUGAAGCAUCUGAUGCACGUUCUA